Molecule: ribosomal RNA, 468 nt
Filed under: uncultured bacterium
Lineage: Bacteria
Description: partial 16S ribosomal RNA
Rfam family: Bacterial small subunit ribosomal RNA
Source: RNAcentral
GACGAACGCUGGCGGCGUGCUUAACACAUGCAAGUCGAACGGAAAGGCCCUGCUUUUGUGGGGUGCUCGAGUGGCGAACGGGUGAGUAACACGUGAGUAACCUGCCCUUGACUUUGGGAUAACUUCGGGAAACUGGGGCUAAUACCGGAUAGGAGCUCCUGCUGCAUGGUGGGGGUUGGAAAGUUUCGGCGGUUGGGGAUGGACUCGCGGCUUAUCAGCUUGUUGGUGGGGUAGUGGCUUACCAAGGCUUUGACGGGUAGCCGGCCUGAGAGGGUGACCGGCCACAUUGGGACUGAGAUACGGCCCAGACUCCUACGGGAGGCAGCAGUGGGGAAUAUUGCACAAUGGGCGGAAGCCUGAUGCAGCAACGCCGUGUGCGGGAUGACGGCCUUCGGGUUGUAAACCGCUUUCGCCUGUGACGAAGCGUGAGUGACGGUAAUGGGUAAAGAAGCACCGGCUAACUACGUG